GUGCAGCAGGCGCGAAUCUUCCACAAUGGACGAAAGUCUGAUGGAGCGACGCCGCGUGCGGGAUGAAGGCCUUAUGGGUUGUAAACCGCUGUCAGGGGGGAAGAACAUCGGAAUGAACAAUACUCAUUCCGACUGACGGUUACCCCCAGAGGAAGCUCCGGCCAACUCCGUGCCAGCCAGCCGCGGUAAUACGGGGGGAGCAAGCGUUGUCCGGAAUUAUUGGGCGUAAAGGGCGUGUAGGCGGCGAGGUAAGUCGAA
RNAcentral lists this ribosomal RNA (258 nucleotides) under uncultured microorganism. Its description in RNAcentral is "partial 16S ribosomal RNA". It matches the Rfam family "Bacterial small subunit ribosomal RNA", at positions 346 to 592 of the family's 1533-position model. The record is from RNAcentral.